This 497-nucleotide ribosomal RNA is filed under the name uncultured bacterium. RNAcentral's name for it is "partial 16S ribosomal RNA". It matches the Rfam family "Bacterial small subunit ribosomal RNA", at positions 28 to 507 of the family's 1533-position model. The record is from RNAcentral.
GAUGAACGCUGGCGGCGUGCCUAAUACAUGCAAGUCGAGCGAACAGACGAGGAGCUUGCUCCUCUGACGUUAGCGGCGGACGGGUGAGUAACACGUGGAUAACCUACCUAUAAGACUGGGAUAACUUCGGGAAACCGGAGCUAAUACCGGAUAAUAUAUUGAACCGCAUGGUUCAAUAGUGAAAGACGGUUUUGCUGUCACUUAUAGAUGUAUCCGCGCCGCAUUAGCUAGUUGGUAAGGUAACGGCUUACCAAGGCAACGAUGCGUAGCCGACCUGAGAGGGUGAUCGGCCACACUGGAAGUGAGACACGGUCCAGACUCCUACGGGAGGCAGCAGUAGGGAAUCUUCCGCAAUGGGCGAAAGCAUGACGGAGCAAAGCCGCGUGAGUGAUGAAGGUCUUCGGAUCGUAAAACUCUGUUAUUAGGGAAGAACAAAUGUGUAAGUAACUAUGCACGUCUUGACGGUACCUAAUCAGAAAGCCACGGCUAACUACGUG